AAGGCUCGUGUUGGAUCAAAUCAUCGGUUCAUAAUCAUCCUAAAACCUAAUAUAACUAUAUGGUCCAUAUGAGGAUGCAAUGCAUUCGUUGGUAGUUCCAUAUAGUCUCGCUUGUUUCAACGAAACAGUGGGAGUAUUAUAUGCUACUAAUUCAUAUUAACUUGGACCAAUAGUUGUGAUAGGCCCAAGUUCUUUUAAUGUGAUUAAAAUGUUUUGAUGUAGCCCAAAACUACUCCCUCAACAACCGAAUAUUAAGUUGAUAAGCGAGAGAUGCUUUGAACAUCUCUUCGUAGGCCUUCCACCGUGGUGGGCUUCAAUCGUUUGUGACUCAUACACCGUAUUCGUCCAGUUCUGGGGUAUGCAAAGUAUGUGCUUAUAUUCAGGAGAAGCCCAUAAACAUAUGAUGAAGUGAAAGUAGGCAACGAGUAUGGCCAAUAUAGAGUUCUUCUGAGGUCAGUCUUGAACCCCUACUUGAACUAGCAUGGUGGGAAUAACUUAACUAAGUGCAAUGGUGCCAAUAUGGAGUUCUUCUGAGGCAUCAUUCUCUAGAGGCCAAAAUAGAUGGGUAAUUACAAAAGUUGUAAAUGGAUAAUGCGUUAUCCUCUCAUCAUUAUUUUUGCUAGCCAAUAUGGAGUUCUUCUGAGGUGGGCUUGGUAAUGGUGAGUCUCCCAUAACCCGCUAAGAGUU
RNAcentral lists this long non-coding RNA (687 nucleotides) under Malus domestica (apple). RNAcentral's name for it is "long non-coding RNA (MDOM_LNC013284)". The record is from RNAcentral. Lineage: Eukaryota; Viridiplantae; Streptophyta; Magnoliopsida; Rosales; Rosaceae.